CAGCGCCACGAGUGGCAAUCGCAAUUAUUGGGCCUAAAGCGUCCGUAGCCGGUUUGGAAAAUCUUUUGUGAAAUCGUUCGGCUUAACCGAACGGCGUGCAGAAGACACUACCAGACUAGGGACCGGGAGGAGUCAGAGGUAUGCAGGGGGGAGCGGUAAAAUGCUAUAAUCCCUUGUGGACCACCUGUGGCGAAGGCGUCUGACCAGAACGGAUCUGACGGUGAGGGACGAAAGCUAGGGGAGCGAACCGGAUUAGAUACCCGUGUAGUCC
Molecule: ribosomal RNA, 271 nt
Filed under: uncultured archaeon
Lineage: Archaea
Description: partial 16S ribosomal RNA
Rfam family: Archaeal small subunit ribosomal RNA
Source: RNAcentral